RNAcentral lists this ribosomal RNA (459 nucleotides) under uncultured bacterium. RNAcentral describes it as "partial 16S ribosomal RNA". It matches the Rfam family "Bacterial small subunit ribosomal RNA", at positions 338 to 795 of the family's 1533-position model. The record is from RNAcentral.
CCUACGGGUGGCAGCAGUGAGGAAUAUUGGUCAAUGGCCGCAAGGCUGAACCAGCCAAGCCGCGUGAAGGAUGACGGUGCUACGCGUUGUAAACUUCUUUUGUAAAGGGAUAAACUCAGGCACGUGUGCCUGAUUGAGGGUACUUUAAGAAUAAGCAUCGGCUAACUCCGUGCCAGCAGCCGCGGUAAUACGGAGGAUCCGAGCGUUAUCCGGAUUUAUUGGGUUUAAAGGGUGCGUAGGGGGGUUGUUAAGUCAGCGGUAAAAGGUCGGGGCUCAACCCCGAAUAGCCGUUGAUACUGGCAGGCUUGAGAAUAGUUGAGGUAGGCGGAAUGCGUGGUGUAGCGGUGAAAUGCUUAGAGAUCACGCAGAACUCCGAUUGCGAAGGCAGCUUACCAAACUACAUCUGACGUUGAGGCACGAAAGCGUGGGUAGCAAACAGGAUUAGAUACCCGUGUAGUC